AUGUCGUGCUGGUCGUUUAAAUGUUCCGGAUAUGGUCAGGCGUUGUGUGUUUUUCGAUCUCGUGCUGCUUAUAUUUCGUGUAUGCGUGUGAGCAGGAUUUGUCCGCUUGUUUCCGUUGUUAUACCUAUUUUGGAGGUCAUGGUAACUCGAUGCCCCCCGUGCUCACUCUUUCUGUUGUACAUAGAAGCAUAUUUGUCCAAUUCUCAGACUAAUUUUUUUGAAAGAAACCGCAGUUCAUUACAACGCCAAUUAUGGAUAUGGAUCCAUCUUGCUGCGCUGGAUGAAGGACUGGAUGCAAUAAGAAUUGCAUGUGACAAUUGCUCAUGA
Molecule: ribosomal RNA, 327 nt
Filed under: Triticum aestivum (bread wheat)
Lineage: Eukaryota; Viridiplantae; Streptophyta; Magnoliopsida; Poales; Poaceae
Description: partial small subunit ribosomal RNA
Source: RNAcentral